GGUUAAGCGACUAAGCGUACACGGUGGAUGCCCUGGCAGUCAGAGGCGAUGAAGGGCGUGCUAAUCUGCGAUAAGCGCCGGUAAGGUGAUAUGAACCGUUAUAACCGGCGAUACCCGAAUGGGGAAACCCAGUGUGAUUCGUCACACUAUCAUUAACUGAAUCCAUAGGUUAAUGAGGCGAACCGGGGGAACUGAAACAUCUAAGUACCCCGAGGAAAAGAAAUCAACCGAGAUUCCCCCAGUAGCGGCGAGCGAACGGGGAGGAGCCCAGAGCCUGAAUCAGCAUGUGUGUUAGUGGAAGCGUCUGGAAAGGCGCGCGAUACAGGGUGACAGCCCCGUACACAAAAGCGCAUGUGCUGUGAGCUCGAUGAGUAGGGCGGGACACGUGGUAUCCUGUCUGAAUAUGGGGGGACCAUCCUCCAAGGCUAAAUACUCCUGACUGACCGAUAGUGAACCAGUACCGUGAGGGAAAGGCGAAAAGAACCCCGGCGAGGGGAGUGAAAAAGAACCUGAAACCGUGUACGUACAAGCAGUGGGAGCACAGGUUUACCUGUGUGACUGCGUACCUUUUGUAUAAUGGGUCAGCGACUUAUAUUCUGUAGCAAGGUUAACCGAAUAGGGGAGCCGGAGGGAAACCGAGUCUUAACCGGGCGUUAAGUUGCAGGGUAUAGACCCGAAACCCGGUGAUCUAGCCAUGGGCAGGUUGAAGGUUGGGUAACACUAACUGGAGGACCGAACCGACUAAUGUUGAAAAAUUAGCGGAUGACCUGUGGCUGGGGGUGAAAGGCCAAUCAAACCGGGAGAUAGCUGGUUCUCCCCGAAAGCUAUUUAGGUAGCGCCUCGUGAAUUCAUCUCCGGGGGUAGAGCACUGUUUCGGCUAGGGGGCCAUCCCGGCUUACCAACCCGAUGCAAACUGCGAAUACCGGAGAAUGUUAUCACGGGAGACACACGGCGGGUGCUAACGUCCGUCGUGAAGAGGGAAACAACCCAGACCGCCAGCUAAGGUCCCAAAGUCAUGGUUAAGUGGGAAACGAUGUGGGAAGGCCCAGACAGCCAGGAUGUUGGCUUAGAAGCAGCCAUCAUUUAAAGAAAGCGUAAUAGCUCACUGGUCGAGUCGGCCUGCGCGGAAGAUGUAACGGGGCUAAACCAUGCACCGAAGCUGCGGCAGCGACGCUUAUGCGUUGUUGGGUAGGGGAGCGUUCUGUAAGCCUGUGAAGGUGUGUCGUGAGGCAUGCUGGAGGUAUCAGAAGUGCGAAUGCUGACAUAAGUAACGAUAAAGCGGGUGAAAAGCCCGCUCGCCGGAAGACCAAGGGUUCCUGUCCAACGUUAAUCGGGGCAGGGUGAGUCGACCCCUAAGGCGAGGCCGAAAGGCGUAGUCGAUGGGAAACGGGUUAAUAUUCCCGUACUUGGUGUUACUGCGAAGGGGGGACGGAGAAGGCUAUGUUGGCCGGGCGACGGUUGUCCCGGUUUAAGCGUGUAGGUGUGUGUUCCAGGUAAAUCCGGUUCACUUUAACACUGAGGCGUGACGACGAGGCACUACGGUGCUGAAGCAACAAAUGCCCUGCUUCCAGGAAAAGCCUCUAAGCAUCAGGUAACAUCAAAUCGUACCCCAAACCGACACAGGUGGUCAGGUAGAGAAUACCAAGGCGCUUGAGAGAACUCGGGUGAAGGAACUAGGCAAAAUGGUGCCGUAACUUCGGGAGAAGGCACGCUGACACGUAGGUGAAGUGAUUUACUCAUGGAGCUGAAGUCAGUCGAAGAUACCAGCUGGCUGCAACUGUUUAUUAAAAACACAGCACUGUGCAAACACGAAAGUGGACGUAUACGGUGUGACGCCUGCCCGGUGCCGGAAGGUUAAUUGAUGGGGUCAGCGCAAGCGAAGCUCCUGAUCGAAGCCCCGGUAAACGGCGGCCGUAACUAUAACGGUCCUAAGGUAGCGAAAUUCCUUGUCGGGUAAGUUCCGACCUGCACGAAUGGCGUAAUGAUGGCCAGGCUGUCUCCACCCGAGACUCAGUGAAAUUGAACUCGCUGUGAAGAUGCAGUGUACCCGCGGCAAGACGGAAAGACCCCGUGAACCUUUACUAUAGCUUGACACUGAACAUUGAGCCUUGAUGUGUAGGAUAGGUGGGAGGCUUUGAAGCGUGGACGCCAGUCUGCGUGGAGCCGACCUUGAAAUACCACCCUUUAAUGUUUGAUGUUCUAACGUGGACCCGUGAUCCGGGUUGCGGACAGUGUCUGGUGGGUAGUUUGACUGGGGCGGUCUCCUCCUAAAGAGUAACGGAGGAGCACGAAGGUUGGCUAAUCCUGGUCGGACAUCAGGAGGUUAGUGCAAUGGCAUAAGCCAGCUUGACUGCGAGCGUGACGGCGCGAGCAGGUGCGAAAGCAGGUCAUAGUGAUCCGGUGGUUCUGAAUGGAAGGGCCAUCGCUCAACGGAUAAAAGGUACUCCGGGGAUAACAGGCUGAUACCGCCCAAGAGUUCAUAUCGACGGCGGUGUUUGGCACCUCGAUGUCGGCUCAUCACAUCCUGGGGCUGAAGUAGGUCCCAAGGGUAUGGCUGUUCGCCAUUUAAAGUGGUACGCGAGCUGGGUUUAGAACGUCGUGAGACAGUUCGGUCCCUAUCUGCCGUGGGCGCUGGAGAACUGAGGGGGGCUGCUCCUAGUACGAGAGGACCGGAGUGGACGCAUCACUGGUGUUCGGGUUGUCAUGCCAAUGGCACUGCCCGGUAGCUAAAUGCGGAAGAGAUAAGUGCUGAAAGCAUCUAAGCACGAAACUUGCCCCGAGAUGAGUUCUCCCUGAGACUUAGAGUCUCCUGAAGGAACGUUGAAGACGACGACGUUGAUAGGCCGGGUGUGUAAGCGCAGCGAUGCGUUGAGCUAACCGGUACUAAUGAACCGUGAGGCUUAACCUU
Molecule: ribosomal RNA, 2908 nt
Filed under: Salmonella enterica subsp. enterica serovar Dublin
Lineage: Bacteria; Pseudomonadati; Pseudomonadota; Gammaproteobacteria; Enterobacterales; Enterobacteriaceae
Also listed under: 1 other name
Description: 23S ribosomal RNA
Rfam family: Bacterial large subunit ribosomal RNA
Source: RNAcentral